GGCUUCGUAUCUCAGCUGGUAGGGUGUGCACGUGCAAAGCGUAAGCGGCGUCCAUGCGUGGGUUCGAAUCCCAACGAGGCUA
RNAcentral lists this transfer RNA (82 nucleotides) under Echinostoma caproni. It matches the Rfam family "tRNA". From Rfam's summary of the family: Transfer RNA (tRNA) molecules are approximately 80 nucleotides in length. Their secondary structure includes four short double-helical elements and three loops (D, anti-codon, and T loops). The record is from Rfam by way of RNAcentral. Lineage: Eukaryota; Metazoa; Platyhelminthes; Trematoda; Plagiorchiida; Echinostomatidae.